This 301-nucleotide ribosomal RNA is filed under the name uncultured bacterium. RNAcentral's name for it is "partial 16S ribosomal RNA". It matches the Rfam family "Bacterial small subunit ribosomal RNA", at positions 509 to 807 of the family's 1533-position model. The record is from RNAcentral.
CAGCCGCCGCGGGAAAACGUAGGGUCCGAGCGUUGUCCGGAAUUAUUGGGCGUAAAGAGCUCGUAGGCGGUUUGUCGCGUCUGCUGUGAAAACCCGAGGCUCAACCUCGGGCCUGCAGUGGGUACGGGCAGACUAGAGUGCGGUAGGGGAGAUUGGAACUCCUGGUGUAGCGGUGGAAUGCGCAGAUAUCAGGAGGAACACCUGUGGCGAAAGCGGCUCACUGGACCAUAACUGACGCUGAGGCACGAAAGCUAGGGGAGCAAACAGGAUUAGAUACCCCUGUAGUCCCUGUCUCUUAUAC